UCGGGAUAGCUCAGCUGGUAGAGCAGAGGACUGA
Molecule: transfer RNA, 34 nt
Filed under: Rubus ellipticus (yellow Himalayan raspberry)
Lineage: Eukaryota; Viridiplantae; Streptophyta; Magnoliopsida; Rosales; Rosaceae
Also listed under: 9 other names
Description: partial tRNA-Phe
Source: RNAcentral